GGGAAAACAGAAUUUAGGUAAUAUGCCACAAAACAGGAUACUUGCCACAGAACAGGUUACUUGCAAAUAAUAACGAAUAUCUGUAAUUUCCAGGUAGGGUUGUAACAAAGGCAGGCUGGUAACAGUGGAAGGCUGGUAUGAAGUAUACGUAAGGGUGGAGCAGGUUAUUGUUAGGAGCAGGUUUGAAGGUAAGUCUGGAGCAGGUUGGUAUAGAGCAGGUUUAAAGGUAAGUCUGAAGCAGGUUCACAGGAGCCAGGAUAUGAAGUAAUUCAGGUAAAUCACCAACUUCAAUGUAAAGGCCCUGAGGUUAGUUGGGUGUAGCCUUUUGUAGCUGAAGUAAUUAGUCCUAGGCAGGUGAGGACUGAGGUGACUAGUGGUUAGGGAGACCACUAGAGGUGGAGAGCUGUAAC
Non-coding RNA from Pelobates cultripes (western spadefoot toad), 410 nucleotides. NCBI's taxonomy places the organism in Eukaryota, Metazoa, Chordata, Amphibia, Anura, Pelobatidae. The record is from the annotation of a GenBank genome assembly.